AUGUGAAGGCCUGUGGCGGCUGCUGAAACCAGGAACUGAGUCAGCUGAUGCUCAGUGUGAACCACACCAUUUAUACAGGACUACAGUGAUAGUCUGUGUAGUUGUACUUGUUGUGUUUUAUUUGUUUGUUUUAUCUGCACUUGGAGUGUGGUGCUGCCGACAGAAGAUAGGGGAAUAUUUACCCCCAGGUAAAGUUUUAAGCUGUGACAAUAUAAACAGGAUCUUUUAUUUUUAAAUUGAUUGAAUGUCUCUGUCAUAUCACUUAGUUUUUAUUCAUUGCUGACCUUUAAUUUCAGGAGAAAACGAAGGAGCAGAAACAACAGAGGAGCAGAUGUGGUAUGUUUUAAACUUUCUGUGCUCUCAGUUCAUUUCAUUGUUCAGUGGUAGAAUGAGUUUACUCACCCACAAACAUUUCUUCUGAAGGUGCAAAACCGUUUAAAUGAAAACUACUUGCAGAGAGGUGGCUUCACAGACCAUAAACGCAAUGAUGGUGAGACACUAGAGUUUUUAAUUAAAAUGUUGACUGACAGGGAUAAACUCUGACAUUUCUUUACAAAUAUGUUUAAAAUAAAUCUCUUCUUUUCUCAGGUCCUGAUACUUUUUUGGACACUUCAGAGUGAAUGUUGUUCAGGAUUCAGGUUUUAUCCUCCUGGAUUUCAUAAAAUACAACAAUCAUCCAUAGUGUCAUGAUCAGCUGCUUACUUCUGUCUGGAAGCACAUCUUAAAUUGACUGAUAGAAAAACAACAUGAUGUAUUUACAUUUGACUAGUAUAUAGUUAAAAAAAAAUCCUGACAGAAAGCUGUGUUCAGUUAAAGGACAAAUACCUCAUGAAAUACCAGCGCUCAUCUCAUUUCAAGUCCUUCUUAUGCUUUGGAAAUAAAGAAGUUAUUAACAAAAUGUCCUAUAAGUAUGACGAAAAAGGCAUCAAACUUUCCAGUGUUUACCUUCAGAUUUGUUACAUUUUAAAGCUCCAUAUCAGUGAAACAACACUUAACCAAAAAAUAUUUUAAAACAGCUUGCACUGUGUGUAUAUGUCUGUAAAUAUGUGUUGAUUGUUUGUGUAUUUAUCUAAAUAAAAGAAGAAACACACUCUU
Molecule: non-coding RNA, 1095 nt
Organism: Xyrichtys novacula (pearly razorfish)
Lineage: Eukaryota; Metazoa; Chordata; Actinopteri; Labriformes; Labridae
Source: the annotation of a GenBank genome assembly